Molecule: ribosomal RNA, 484 nt
Filed under: uncultured bacterium
Lineage: Bacteria
Description: partial 16S ribosomal RNA
Rfam family: Bacterial small subunit ribosomal RNA
Source: RNAcentral
UGACCGCUGGCGGCAUGCCUUACACAUGCAAGUCGAACGGCAGCACGGGUGCUUGCACCUGGUGGCGAGUGGCGAACGGGUGAGUAAUACAUCGGAACAUGUCCUGUAGUGGGGGAUAGCCCGGCGAAAGCCGGAUUAAUACCGCAUACGAUCUACGGAUGAAAGCGGGGGACCUUCGGGCCUCGCGCUAUAGGGUUGGCCGAUGGCUGAUUAGCUAGUUGGUGGGGUAAAGGCCUACCAAGGCGACGAUCAGUAGCUGGUCUGAGAGGACGACCAGCCACACUGGGACUGAGACACGGCCCAGACUCCUACGGGAGGCAGCAGUGGGGAAUUUUGGACAAUGGGCGAAAGCCUGAUCCAGCAAUGCCGCGUGUGUGAAGAAGGCCUUCGGGUUGUAAAGCACUUUUGUCCGGAAAGAAAUCCUUGGCUCUAAUACAGUCGGGGGAUGACGGUACCGGAAGAAUAAGCACCGGCUAACUACGUG